UUUCGUCUGUAGCCAAUGAGGAUGAGAACCUCCGAAGGAGGUUUGAGCCGAGCGCAGCGAGACAACGUUGCUUUUGCAACGGCCCGCAGGGGCGGCUCGCAGAGCCGCAAUCCUCUCUCGCCGACCA
This 127-nucleotide small RNA is filed under the name Erwinia aphidicola. Its description in RNAcentral is "RtT sRNA". It matches the Rfam family "RtT RNA". From Rfam's summary of the family: This family represents a bacterial cis-regulatory element known as RtT RNA. The exact function of RtT is unknown although it is thought that it may be involved in changing the cellular response in relation to amino acid starvation. Lineage: Bacteria; Pseudomonadati; Pseudomonadota; Gammaproteobacteria; Enterobacterales; Erwiniaceae. The record is from RNAcentral.